AAAUUAAUUAUUUAUCACUGCCCCAGGAGCUUCGUGGACUCGAGAUUUGUUCAAAUCAUUAUUUAAGGAAUGCAAAUCCACUACAGAUGUCGUAAAUCAACGGAGCGAACAAACAAUGACGACUCUGCCCUGACUCUGACUCACAAUCAGAAGGAUAUGGGAAUCGAUGAUUUUCAUGAAUUGUGAGGAGGCUGCGGAAGUGCGGACUAACGUAGAACAAAUUUUCACCUCUGAAAAAUGGAAGCGAGGUAAGCCCGUAAUUUGAUUGUGACUGUACAUUUACUCUUAGUGCAACGAAAAUUUUCCGGAAUCUUCUUGGGUGCCUAAAGAUCCAUGUAAAUCCUGAUUCUCUUGAAAAUACCAUCAGAAAAAUUGCAGGCUUCCAGUUAAAUUCGAAUUUUCCAACCUAGAUGAGUUUUUAUUUAUUCGUAUAAAUAAGUCUAUAACGAGGGCUGUAUAAUAAGGAAGUGCUAAUUACGAUUAAACAAGGCAUUAUAGCUAUGUAAUCGAGUAACUUCG
Molecule: unclassified non-coding RNA, 519 nt
Filed under: Athalia rosae (coleseed sawfly)
Lineage: Eukaryota; Metazoa; Arthropoda; Insecta; Hymenoptera; Athaliidae
Description: misc RNA ENSAEAG00005006183.1
Source: RNAcentral